AGUGAACGCUGGUGGUAGGCCUAACACAUGCAAGUCGAACGGCAGCACAGUAAGAGCUUGCUCUUACGGGUGGCGAGUGGCGGACGGGUGAGGAAUACAUCGGAAUCUACUUUUUCGUGGGGGAUAACGUAGGGAAACUUACGCUAAUACCGCAUACGACCUACGGGUGAAAGCAGGGGAUCUUCGGACCUUGCGCGAUUGAAUGAGCCGAUGUCGGAUUAGCUAGUUGGCGGGGUAAAGGCCCACCAAGGCGACGAUCCGUAGCUGGUCUGAGAGGAUGAUCAGCCACACUGGAACUGAGACACGGUCCAGACUCCUACGGGAGGCAGCAGUGGGGAAUAUUGGACAAUGGGCGCAAGCCUGAUCCAGCCAUACCGCGUGGGUGAAGAAGGCCUUCGGGUUGUAAAGCCCUUUUGUUGGGAAAGAAAAGCAGCAGGUUAAUACCCCGCUGUUCUGACGGUACCCAAAGAAUAAGCACCGGCUAACUUCGU
Molecule: ribosomal RNA, 491 nt
Filed under: uncultured bacterium
Lineage: Bacteria
Description: partial 16S ribosomal RNA
Rfam family: Bacterial small subunit ribosomal RNA
Source: RNAcentral